ACUCUGAUCAGCCAUGCCGCGUGCAGGAAGACUGCCCUAUGGGUUGUAAACUGCUUUUAUACAGGAAGAAACCUUUCCACGUGUGGGGAGCUGACGGUACUGUAAGAAUAAGGAUCGGCUAACUCCGUGCCGGCAGCCGCGGUAAUACGGAGGAUCCAAGCGUUAUCCGGAAUCAUUGGGUUUAAAGGGUCCGUAGGUGGAUAAUUAAGUCAGAGGUGAAAGUUUGCGGCUCAACCGUAAAAUUGCCUUUGAUACUGGUUAUCUUGAAUCAUUGUGAAGUGGUUAGAAUAUGUAGUGUAGCGGUGAAAUGCAUAGAUAUUACAUAGAAUACCAAUUGCGAAGGCAGAUCACUAACAAUGUAUUGACACUGAUGGACGAAAGCGUGGGGAGCGAACGGGAUUAGAUACCCCGGUAGUCCACGCCGUAAACGAUGGUCACUAGCUGUUCGGACUUCGGUCUGAGUGGCUAAGCGAAAGUGAUAAGUGACCCACCUGGGGAGUACGUUCGCAAGAAUGAAACUCAAAGGAAUUGACGGGGGCCCGCACAAGCGGUGGAGCAUGUGGUUUAAUUCGAUGAUACGCGAGGAACCUUACCAGGGCUUAAAUGUAGAUUGCAUUAGCUAGAGAUAGCUAUUUCUUCGGACUAUCUACAAGGUGCUGCAUGGUUGUCGUCAGCUCGUGCCGUGAGGUGUCAGGUUAAGUCCUAUAACGAGCGCAACCCCUGUUGUUAGUUGCCAGCGAGUCAAGUCGGGAACUCUAACAAGACUGCCAGUGCAAACUGUGAGGAAGGUGGG
This 793-nucleotide ribosomal RNA is filed under the name uncultured Winogradskyella sp. RNAcentral describes it as "bacterial SSU rRNA". It matches the Rfam family "Bacterial small subunit ribosomal RNA", at positions 380 to 1177 of the family's 1533-position model. Lineage: Bacteria; Pseudomonadati; Bacteroidota; Flavobacteriia; Flavobacteriales; Flavobacteriaceae. The record is from RNAcentral.